AAAAUAAAUGAAAUAAAUAAAAUAAAUGAAAUAAAUAAAAUAAAUGAAAUAAAUAAAAUAAAUAAAAUAAAUAUCGAGUUACAUGAUGAAAACUUAAUUAAUGCAUUUGUUUUAAUCAUUGAAUGUCCAUUUCUUCUUUUUCCUUCUUGUAAAUAUUAUUGCUAAUUUGUAAAAAUGCAAUGUGUUAAUAAUAUAUCGAGUUCAAAGGAGGAACAAAUAAUCCAUUAGCAUUUUAUGUUUGCCUUAUGAUGUGCUUGGUUUGUUUUGUUUUGUUUUGAUUAGAUUUGGUUUUGCUUUGUUCGGCUCAGUUCGGCUCAGUUCGGUUUUAUUUUUUUUUUUUUUACUUAUAUGAGCAUAAACACUGUAAAAUAUAUAUUUUUUUACAAUUUAUUAAUAAAUGUAAAACGAGUAUACAAAGAAAUAAUAAAUAAAUUAAGAUUAAUAAAGGAAAGAUAUUAAAAGCGAGAAAAAAAAAAAAAAAAAAAAAAAAAAAGGAAAAUUUGUUUGGAAAGAAGAAAGGAAUCAAAAUUAAAAUCAAAAAGGGAAAACGAAAAAACUGUUUUAAAAAAAAAAAAAAAAAAAAAAAAAAAAAAANNNNNNNNNNNNNNNNNNNNNNNNNNNNNNNNNNNNNNNNNNNNNNNNNNNNNNNNNNNNNNNNNNNNNNNNNNNNNNNNNNNNNNNNNNNNNNNNNNNNAAAAAAAAAAAAAAAAAAAAAAAAAAAGGUAAAUUUGUUUGGAAAGAAGGAAGGAAUUAAAAUUGAAUACCAAAAGCGGAAAGUGAAAAAACUGUUUAAUAAAAAAAAAAAAAAAAAAAAAAAAAAAAAAAAAAGGGGAAAGAACAAAAACAAACUGAACACACAGAGUAAGACUUAAUAUACAGAAAUGAAAGUAAGAAAAACAUUUGCAUUAAUUGUUGGAGGAGGUCCAACUGGCGUAACAACAGGUUUAUAUCUUCAGAAGUAUGGUAUACCACAUAUUUUAAUAGAAAAAAAUAAAUAUAUAGAAAAAACACCCAGAUCUCAUUAUUAUAAUAAUCAAACUAUGGAAGCAUGGAGAAAUAUAUGUCACUUGGAUAAAUGUUUUAUUAAUGAAACAGAAGAUUUAAAUUUAUGGAAAAAUUUUAAGUAUUGUCUAAAUAUAAAAAAAGAUAAAGUGUUAUGUUGUUAUAAUAACUUUUCUUAUAAAUACACUUAUAAAAAUACAUAUUAUGAAGACUUAAGUCCUUCAAAAGUAACUCAUUUAUCACAAUAUAAAUUGUUAGGUAUUUUAUAUAGUUAUUAUCUUGAAAAAAUAAAGUGUGAACCAAUUAAAAAAAAACAAUUUUUAAACAGAAUAAAAUUAAAAUUAUCUACACAUAGAAUUCUAAAAAAUAGUUUGAACUGUAAAGUUAACAAUGAUAUAUCAUUUUUGGAUGAGCAAAAAAAAGAACCUCAUAUUGACGGGAAACGAAAAACAAAUAAAACGUACAAUUAUGACAAUUCAUUUUUUUUUGACACAUCUGAAAUGCUAAUUGGAUAUGAGUUUGUAAAUUUUGUGAAUACUGCUGAAUUUGAUAAGGUUGAUAAAUUAAACGGGUUCAGAAAUGGAACAAAUGAUGUGGCUGGUGGUAUUGAUGACUCAGCUGGUGGUAUUGAUGACUCGGCUGGUGGUAUUGAUGAUUCAGCUGGUGGUAUUGAUGACUCAGCUGGUGGUAUUGAUGACUCAGCUGGUGGUAUUGAUGAUUCAGCUAGUGGUAUUGAAAAAAAAACCCUAUCACCAUAUUACACAAACAGACAAAAUUAUGUAGUAACAAGAAUAAAAAACGUAAGUACCCAUGAAGAAGAAUUAGUCAUAAGUAAUUAUGUAUUUUCUACCGAGGGUGGUAGAAGUAGUUUAAAAAAAAAUUUAAAUAUUAAUGAUGAGAAUAAAAAAGAAUUUAUGAAAUUUGUAAAUAUUCAUUUCCAUUCUAUAUAUUUAAGUAACUUAGUAAAAUAUAAUCCAGCUAUGAUUUAUUUUUUAUUUAAUAGUUAUGUAGGUGUUUUAGUUUGUCAUAAUUUUGAAACAGGAAAUUUCGUUUUACACAUACCUUGUAUAACAAAAAGUGAAAUAGAAAAUUACAGUAACAAAAUAAAAUGUUUGAAUAUAAUUAAUAAAUUAAUUGGAAUUCAAUUAUACGAUAUAGAUAUAAAUGAAAUUCGGAAAUGGACAAUGUAUAGUUCUAUAGCUUCAACUUUCAUAGAUCAAGUAUCAAACAGAAUAAUUUUACUAGGCGAUUCAGCACAUAAAUUACCUCCCUCUGGUGGUUUUGGUUUAAAUUUAGGAAUAGGAGACACUCUGAAUAUGGUUUGGAAAAUUGUUCGAAUUUUUAAUUUAAAAAUGGAAGUCUAUAGUGGUGGUAAGGAUGUGGUAGUAGCGACAGAUUCAUUUGCUAAUGCUAGUGCUAGUGUUAGUGAAAGAACACAACAAAAAUUAGGUCUAUGUCUACAAGACGAAACUCAAAAAAUGAACUCUGAUUUUGAUUUACUAACCAAGCAUGAUAAAAAAAAAAUAAAAAACUACAUAAACUCGUAUAAUGUUGAAAGAAAACUAGUAGCUAGUUAUACAAUUGAUAACGCUAUUCGAAAUUAUGAAAAGGGGAGUAACAUACCACUUAUAUUAGGAUAUCAUCAAAAAAUGUUAGUCAAAUUUUUUAAUAUAUUUAAUAUAGGUUUUUCUGAAAAAUCGUUGAUUUUUGAUCUUUUAUUUACAAACGUGAAAAUUAUUUUAAAUUUUUUUAAUAACAUUCCAUAUAUAUUUGAAUAUAAACAAAGGCAAGCACAAAAAUUAAUUAAACAUCAGGAGAAUAUAUUAACUUUGUUAUAUCCUGGGUUGGAUUGUUGCUAUUCUUACAUUAAUACUAUUAGUGGUGUAUUCAAUGAAAAUGAUUCUGAAAAUGAUGCAGAAAAUGAUUCUGAAAAUGAUUCUGAAAAUGAUUCUGAAAAUGAUUCUAAAACAAAUUAUGAAACAAAUUAUGAAUCAAAUUAUGAAUCAAAUUAUGAAGGCGAUAGUGAUAACAAGUGCGGGGGCGUAAGUAAUAAUAACACAAACCAGUUUGUGGCGAACAAAAAUGUUGAACACGUCGAAAAUAAUAGAAGUAGCAGUAGUAGUAGUAGUAGUAGUAGUAGUAGUAGCAGUAGUAGCAGUAGCAGUAGUAGCAGUAGUAGUGGUAGUGAUAAUGAUGGUAACAGUAACGGUAGUGAUAAUAUAAAAAAUCACAUUUUUCAGCAAACAAAAGAAACCAUUCCUAAAUUAAAAGUAUGUAAAAAUAUAUAUAAACAUGAAGUAACAAAUGUUAUGGGAUCUAAAAUACCUCACUUUAUUAUGUACACUUAUGGAAAAAAUACAAUUUAUAAACUUUCUACUGUUGAUUUACCUAUUUUUAAUAAUUUUUUUUUAUCUUAUUUAAUUAUUUUAUUUGAUCAUAUGUUAUUAAAUGAUUUAAUUGAUUAUUUUUUUAAACAUAAUAUACCAAAAAAUAAAUUUUUUUUUUGCUUAUGGGAUUCAGGUAUUUUAGUUUAUAAAAACAAAAAAACACAGGUUAUUAAUAUAAUAAAACAAAAAGAUAUUGAUAGUAAUAAACUAGAAAAAAAUUGUUCUAAUAACAGUGUAGUAAUAAAUGAUUCUGUUUUAUUGCUAAAUAAUUAUAAGGAUAUUCAAGAAGCUGUUUCGAAAGUAAAUCAUAUUCCUAUAAACAACAAAAAUUAUAAUGUUAAUUAUGUUUU
RNAcentral lists this long non-coding RNA (3739 nucleotides) under Piliocolobus tephrosceles (Ugandan red Colobus). Its description in RNAcentral is "lncRNA (ENSPTEG00000011036.1)". Lineage: Eukaryota; Metazoa; Chordata; Mammalia; Primates; Cercopithecidae. The record is from RNAcentral.